This 268-nucleotide ribosomal RNA is filed under the name uncultured Prevotella sp. RNAcentral's name for it is "partial 16S ribosomal RNA". It matches the Rfam family "Bacterial small subunit ribosomal RNA", at positions 89 to 354 of the family's 1533-position model. Lineage: Bacteria; Pseudomonadati; Bacteroidota; Bacteroidia; Bacteroidales; Prevotellaceae. The record is from RNAcentral.
CGGCGACCGGCGCACGGGUGAGUAACGCGUAUCCAACCUGCCCAUAACUAAGGGAUAACCCAGCGAAAGUUGGACUAAUACCUUAUGUACUCGUUUGAUCUCAUGAGAUUACGAAUAAAGAUUUAUCGGUUAUGGAUGGGGAUGCGUCUGAUUAGCUUGUUGGCGGGGUAACGGCCCACCAAGGCAACGAUCAGUAGGGGUUCUGAGAGGAAGGUCCCCCACCAUUGGAACUGAGACACGGUCCAAACUCCUACGGGAGGCAGCAGAG